Molecule: ribosomal RNA, 513 nt
Filed under: uncultured bacterium
Lineage: Bacteria
Description: bacterial SSU rRNA
Rfam family: Bacterial small subunit ribosomal RNA
Source: RNAcentral
CGCUGGCGGCGUGCCUAAUACAUAGCAAGUCGAACGGUCUUUCUAUGGAAGCUUGCUUCCACUGAGAAGAUAGUGGCGAACGGGUGAGUAACACGUGGGUAAACCUGCCCAUAAGAGGGGGGAUAACAUCCGGAAACGGGUGCUAAUACCGCAUAGUUUCUUGAUUGCAUGAUUGAGAAAGGAAAGACGGCCUUUGUGCUGUCGCUUAUGGAUGGACCCGCGGCGUAUUAGUUAGUUGGUGAGGUAACGGCUCACCAAGACGAUGAUACGUAGCCGACCUGAGAGGGUGAUCGGCCACAUUGGGACUGAGACACGGCCCAAACUCCUACGGGAGGCAGCAGUAGGGAAUCUUCCGCAAUGGACGAAAGUCUGACGGAGCAACGCCGCGUGAGUGAAAGAAGGUUUUCGGAUCGUAAAACUCUGUUGUCAGAGAAGAACAAGUUGGAGAGUAACUGCUCCAGCCUUGACGGUAUCUGACCAGAAAGCCACGGCUAACUACGUGCCAGCCGCCGC